UACGGAAGGUGCAAGCAUUGUUCGGAUUGACUGGGCGUAAAGAGCACGUAGGCGGGUUUAUAAGUCGGAUGUGAAAGCCCUAGGCUCAACCUAGGAACUGCAUUCGAAACUGUAGAUCUUGAAUGUUUGGGAGGCUAGCGGAAUUCCAGGUGUAGGAGUGAAAUCCGUAGAUAUCUGGAGGAACACCGGAGGCGAAGGCG
Molecule: ribosomal RNA, 200 nt
Filed under: uncultured bacterium
Lineage: Bacteria
Description: partial 16S ribosomal RNA
Rfam family: Bacterial small subunit ribosomal RNA
Source: RNAcentral